RNAcentral lists this ribosomal RNA (497 nucleotides) under uncultured bacterium. RNAcentral describes it as "partial 16S ribosomal RNA". It matches the Rfam family "Bacterial small subunit ribosomal RNA", at positions 28 to 507 of the family's 1533-position model. The record is from RNAcentral.
GAUGAACGCUGGCGGCGUGCCUAAUACAUGCAAGUCGAGCGAACAGAUGAGGAGCUUACUCCUCUGACGUUAGCGGCGGACGGGUGAGUAACACGUGGAUAACCUACCUAUAAGACUGGGAUAACUUCGGGAAACCGGAGCUAAUACCGGAUAAUAUAUUGAACCGCAUGGUUCAAUAGUGAAAGACGGUUUUGCUGUCACUUAUAGAUUGAUCCGCGCCGCAUUAGCUAGUUGGGAAGGUAACGGGUUACCAAGGCAACGAUGCGAAACCGACCUGAGAGGGUGAUCCGCCACCCUGGCAGUGAGACCCGGUCCAGACUCCUACGGGAAGCAGCAGUAGGGAAUCCUCCGCAAUGGGCGAAAGCCUGACGGGGCAACGCCGCGUGAGUGAUGAAGGUCUUCGGAUCGUAAAACUCUGUUAUUAGGGAAGACCAAAUGUGUAAGUAACUAUGCACGUCUUGACGGUACCUAAUCAGAAAGCCACGGCUAACUACGUG